RNAcentral lists this ribosomal RNA (469 nucleotides) under uncultured bacterium. RNAcentral describes it as "partial 16S ribosomal RNA". It matches the Rfam family "Bacterial small subunit ribosomal RNA", at positions 36 to 507 of the family's 1533-position model. The record is from RNAcentral.
UCCUCCCUCUUUCUUCGUGCUUAACACAUGCAAGUCGAACGGUGAAGCGAGUGCUUGCACUCGUGGAUCAGUGGCGAACGGGUGAGUAACACGUGAGUAACCUGCCCAUCACUCUGGGAUAAGCACUGGAAACGGUGUCUAAUACUGGAUACGACCAACCCUUGCAUGGGGUGUUGGUGGAAAGAUUUAUCGGUGAUGGAUGGACUCGCGGCCUAUCAGCUUGUUGGCGGGGUAAUGGCCCACCAAGGCGACGACGGGUAGCCGGCCUGAGAGGGUGACCGGCCACACUGGGACUGAGACACGGCCCAGACUCCUACGGGAGGCAGCAGUGGGGAAUAUUGCACAAUGGGCGAAAGCCUGAUGCAGCGACGCCGCGUGAGGGAUGACGGCCUUCGGGUUGUAAACCUCUUUCAGCAGGGAAGAAGCGAAAGUGACGGUACCUGCAGAAGAAGCACCGGCUAACUACGUG